This 606-nucleotide long non-coding RNA is filed under the name Fragaria vesca (wild strawberry). RNAcentral's name for it is "long non-coding RNA (FVES_LNC005150)". The record is from RNAcentral. Lineage: Eukaryota; Viridiplantae; Streptophyta; Magnoliopsida; Rosales; Rosaceae.
AAAGGUGUCUUAUGUUAAAUGUAGACUUUGCAUCUUUUACCUUGGGUUGGUUCAAUCUCAAGAACAAUUUAGAUUUCCAGAAAGUCUACUUUUUCUUUGAUUUCUCUUAUGUUAAUGGUAGACAUUUCUUAUGAAAAAAUUUCUUUGAUUUCUCUUAUGUUAAUGGUAGACAUUUCUUAUGAAAAAAGUAGUUGUGUCUUAUGUUAAAUGUAGACUUUGCAACUUUCACCUUCCAUUAUUGAUUCAAUCUCAAGAAUAAUUUUGAUUUCCAGAAUGUCUACUUUUCUUUGAUUUCUCUUAUGUUAAUGGUAGACAUUUUGCAUGAAAAUUGUAGUUGUGUCUCAUGUUAAAUGUAGACUUUGCAUCUUUUAUCUUGGGUUGCUUCAAUCUCAAGAACAAUUUAGAUUUCCAGAAAGUCUACUUUUCUUUGAUUUCUCUUAUGUUAUGGUAUACGUUUCUAAUGAAAAUAGUAGACGUGUCUUAUGUUAAAUGUAGACUUGAAAAUUUUACUUUCGGUUGGUUCAAUCUCAAUCUCACAAUCUUGAUUUCUAGAAAGUCUACUUUUCUUUGAUUUCGUUUAUGUUAAUGGUAGAGAUUUGUAAUAAA